UUUCCUCUCUUGAUCUUCUUCUAGUUCUCAGAGAAUCCAGAGCUCUCCGCCUUCGACAUCGAGCAGGCUACCACCUCUCCCCUUUCUAGCAUGAGACGGUAAAAAGCUAGCCCUCAGUUUCUUUUGCAGUACUCUAUCUCUGGGAACUCUUCACUCGAUAAUAGUUGCUAGCAGACUUGUCAACUACAUUUGCUCAUAUUUAUCAUUAGCAAGUUGUAAC
Molecule: long non-coding RNA, 220 nt
Organism: Argentina anserina (silverweed cinquefoil)
Lineage: Eukaryota; Viridiplantae; Streptophyta; Magnoliopsida; Rosales; Rosaceae
Exons: 3
Source: RefSeq, a predicted model, not a curated record